RNAcentral lists this ribosomal RNA (293 nucleotides) under uncultured Enterobacteriaceae bacterium. RNAcentral's name for it is "partial 16S ribosomal RNA". It matches the Rfam family "Bacterial small subunit ribosomal RNA", at positions 30 to 317 of the family's 1533-position model. Lineage: Bacteria; Pseudomonadati; Pseudomonadota; Gammaproteobacteria; Enterobacterales; Enterobacteriaceae. The record is from RNAcentral.
AUUGAACGCUGGCGGCAGGCCUAACACAUGCAAGUCGAACGGUAACAGGAAACAGCUUGCUGUUUCGCUGACGAGUGGCGGACGGGUGAGUAAUGUCUGGGAAACUGCCUGAUGGAGGGGGAUAACUACUGGAAACGGUAGCUAAUACCGCAUAACGUCGCAAGACCAAAGAGGGGGACCUUCGGGCCUCUUGCCAUCAGAUGUGCCCAGAUGGGAUUAGCUAGUAGGUGGGGUAACGGGUUCCCCCCCCCAAAAACCCUAGCUGGCUGAGAAGGAAAACGCGCCAUCUUGAA